CGCGGCCCCGCGCCCCUGCCUCUUCUCGCGAGGGCAGACCACCCGGUCACGUGCGAUGCCGUCGGGCUCGGACGCCAGCCGCCCAGCGCCUGCGCGGUGCCGUCGGAGGUAGACUGGCGGGUGUUUGCUCAAUUUAUCGAUUGGUUUAAAGUAAAACAAGAGGAAAUCAGAAGUGAAGAUGUAUGGAAUGGAUGAAUCAAAAGCAAAACAAGCAGCUGAAAAAUUGUCAAAGGAAACUAUUGGGGAAUUAAGGAAGUACCAAUGUGGAUUGACCAGUCAGGAGAACCAAUUGAAGAAUAAAAGUGAAUCACUCAAAAUGGCUUUUGGAAAAGACAAUUGAAUAAUUUCAUUAUAACAAAAAUAAUGGCCCCAAAAGAGAAAGAUUUUAACUGAAUUUUCAAUUGAAAUAAGAAUGAAGUGGUUUGUUGAUGUGGGCAACAGCCAAUCAGAAGCUUUUAAUAACAUAAAUUUAUCUUGUAGUUGAUUUUAAAUCACUUCAGAAAUCUUUUGGAAAAUGCAAAAGAAACUCAUAAAUCCUACAGGAUCAUCCAUUAUUUUUACUCAGAGCCCUACUGCUGCAUGCUAGGAAACUACAGUGCCCAGAAUUUACAAAUCUGAGGUUGGCAAAAUCUUUUGAAAUUUAGAAUAAAUAGGUGUGCUUGAAAUGUCUCUUCACAUGUUCUGGUGGAAUUAAGCCCAGGCUUUUGUGACAGGUUAAGUCUUUAAAGUGUUGACAUUUUAACAUUGGAAUUCCUAUAGCAUAUGAGCUACCUAAAACAUAUAGUAUUUUAAUGAAAUUUUAGACCAAUGUUCCCCCAUUUCCUCCAUUAGCAUUACCAGAAAAUGAUGCAGCAGUAAAAUAUUAACAAUGAUAUAUAUGAGCAAACGUCCAGAUGUCAUGCUUCGUUACAAAUGCAAAACAACCUCAACAUUUUGGGUGCUCCAUAAUUGCAACCUCAAUCAGACAUACACAUUUCACUCUAUGAAGCUCCCUAAUGAAACAAUAAUUAAAUUCUGAGUCAAUUCAAGCUGUAUUUUUUGAUAACAAUUACUCCUAGUGCCCUUAAAGGGGCAAACCUCCACUUUACCUGCAGAAUAAUGCAUGGCACAUUACAUAGUAUAAUACUUCUGUCCUUAUAGAACAAUGAAUUAUUUGAUUUCCUGUGGGCAAUAUGUUGGGAGAUUUACUACUACCAUCCCCACCAUUUUUAAUGGGCACAUUUUUAAUGUUCAUUUGAUUUUACAUAAUACAAUAACAAUGGUACAUUUAGAAUACAUUUCCUAUCCUUGAGACUUGCUAUGCCACAUGUUUGAAAAAUAAAACUGUAAAGGAACAGCAAGUGAUUGAGUACAUAGAGCAUACAAAGUUCACAAGCACUAUAAAUGACCCUAAUAGACCAGAAUGCCUGAUACGCAUGAAAACUUUACCCUAAUCUAUGUUUUAAGAAAGAAAGCCAAAAUUUCGAAAUGUCGUAAUUAAAUUCAGAUCCCAGUAAUUAGACUAUGUGGCCUUAAAAGGGAAUGGUGCCACAUUUGCAGUAGAAUAAUAUAUUGUGUGUUAUGUUGUGAAGCCUUGCUUUAUAUCAAUAAAAUGAUUUAUGAAA
Long non-coding RNA from Carcharodon carcharias (great white shark), 1604 nucleotides. RefSeq lists it as uncharacterized. Lineage: Eukaryota; Metazoa; Chordata; Chondrichthyes; Lamniformes; Lamnidae. The record is from RefSeq and is a predicted model, not a curated record. The transcript has 2 exons.